RNAcentral lists this ribosomal RNA (778 nucleotides) under uncultured Neocallimastigales. Its description in RNAcentral is "partial large subunit ribosomal RNA". It matches the Rfam family "Eukaryotic large subunit ribosomal RNA", at positions 24 to 645 of the family's 3401-position model. The record is from RNAcentral. Lineage: Eukaryota; Fungi; Neocallimastigomycota; Neocallimastigomycetes; Neocallimastigales.
UAUGUGAUCGUCUCUCGCAUAUCAAUAAGCGGAGGAAAAGAAACUAACAAGGAUUCCCCUAGUAACGGCGAGUGAAGCGGGAAGAGCUCAAAUUUGAAAUCUUAAAGGGUUUCCCUUUACGAAUUGUAGUUUAAAGAAGUGUUUUCCGUUGAGGUUCUGGUAAAAGUUCUUUGGAAUAGGACAUCAUAGAGGGUGAGAAUCCCGUAUUUGACCUUUACUUUCAACUUUGUGAUACACUUUCAAAGAGUCGGAUUGUUUGGGAAUGCAGUCCAAAAUGGGUGGUAAAUUUCAUCUAAAGCUAAAUAUUGGCGAGAGACCGAUAGCGAACAAGUACCGUGAGGGAAAGAUGAAAAGAACUUUGAAAAGAGAGUUAAACAGUACGUGAAAUUGUCAAAAGGGAAGCGUUUGACACCAGUGUUGUUUUUCUGAAAAUCAAUUAAAGAACUGUUUAUGCUAAGCUGUUUAGACUUUAUCAGCUAUCUGUUUAGUUUUGAGCUUUUCUUUAAUGCACUUUUCAGUUAACAAGUCAACAUCAAUUUCUUUUGCUGUAAAAAAGCUUGAGGAAGGUGGCUUGAGAUUCGUCUUAAGUGUUUAUAGCCUCUUGCCUAUGCAGUCGGAGAGAUUGAGGUCUGCAGCGUAGAUCCUUCGGGGCUUAGAUAGCACUUGUGCUAAGCUAUAGUCAUUUAUAGACAACUUGUUGACUAUGAUUCAGUCUUGUAGCUUACUCGCUUAUGCUAUUUUACCUACGCUUAGGAUGUUGAUAUCGCGCUCUCACUGC